Small nucleolar RNA from Caenorhabditis elegans, 70 nucleotides. The record is from Ensembl. Lineage: Eukaryota; Metazoa; Nematoda; Chromadorea; Rhabditida; Rhabditidae.
AAGGCCCGUGAAGACACGAAUUACCGUCUGAUAACUAAUGACGCUACCAUGGCUGUAAACCAGAGGCCGA